This 301-nucleotide ribosomal RNA is filed under the name uncultured bacterium. RNAcentral describes it as "partial 16S ribosomal RNA". It matches the Rfam family "Bacterial small subunit ribosomal RNA", at positions 509 to 807 of the family's 1533-position model. The record is from RNAcentral.
CAGUCGCCGCGGUAAUACGAAGGGUGCAAGCGUUACUCGGAAUUACUGGGCGUAAAGCGUGCGUAGGUGGUGGUUUAAGUCCGUUGUGAAAGCCCUGGGCUCAACCUGGGAAUUGCAGUGGAUACUGGGUCACUAGAGUGUGGUAGAGGAUAGUGGAAUUUCCGGUGUAGCAGUGAAAUGCGUAGAGAUCGGAAGGAACAUCUGUGGCGAAGGCGGCUAUCUGGGCCAACACUGACACUGAGGCACGAAAGCGUGGGGAGCAAGCAGGAUUAGAUACCCCUGUAGUCCCUGUCUCUUAUAC